GAUGAACGCUAGCGGCAGGCUUAACACAUGCAAGUCGAGGGGUANAAGGGGCUUGCUCCUUUGAGACCGGCGCACGGGUGCGUAACGCGUAUGCAACCUACCUUGGACAGGGGGAAUAGCCCAGAGAAAUUUGGAUUAAUGCCCCAUGGUAUUUAGAAGCGGCAUCGCUUUUUCAUUAAAGAUUUAUCGGUUCAAGAUGGGCAUGCGUCCCAUUAGUUAGUUGGUAGGGUAACGGCCUACCAAGACGAUGAUGGGUAGGGGUCCUGAGAGGGAGAUCCCCCACACUGGUACUGAGACACGGACCAGACUCCUACGGGAGGCAGCAGUGAGGAAUAUUGGUCAAUGGGCGAGAGCCUGAACCAGCCAAGUAGCGUGAAGGAUGACUGCCCUAUGGGUUGUAAACUUCUUUAUAAAGGAAUAAAGUCGGGUAUGGAUACCCGUUUGCAUGUACUUAUGAAUAAGGAUCGGCUAACUCCGUG
Molecule: ribosomal RNA, 479 nt
Filed under: uncultured bacterium
Lineage: Bacteria
Description: bacterial SSU rRNA
Rfam family: Bacterial small subunit ribosomal RNA
Source: RNAcentral